AUUGAGUUUGAUCAUGGCUCAGGAUGAACGCUAGCGGGAGGCUUAACACAUGCAAGCCGAGGGGUAUAGUUCUUUCGGGAACUAGAGACCGGCGCACGGGUGCGUAACGCGUAUGCAACUUGCCCUACUGAAAAGGAUAGCCCUUCGAAAGGAGGAUUAAUACUUUAUAACAGAUUUAAUGGCAUCAUUAGAUUUUGAAAGAUUUAUCGCAGUAGGAUAGGCAUGCGUAAGAUUAGUUAGUUGGUGAGGUAACGGCUCACCAAGACGAUGAUCUUUAGGGGGCCUGAGAGGGUGAACCCCCACACUGGUACUGAGACACGGACCAGACUCCUACGGGAGGCAGCAGUGAGGAAUAUUGGACAAUGGGUGGAAGCCUGAUCCAGCCAUCCCGCGUGUAGGAUGACGGCCUUAUGGGUUGUAAACCACUUUUAUCUGGGGAUAAACCUACUCACGUGUGAGUAGCUGAAGGUACCAGAAGAAUAAGCACCGGCUAACUCCGUGCCAGCAGCCGCGGUAAUACGGAGGGUGCAAGCGUUAUCCGGAUUUAUUGGGUUUAAAGGGUCCGUAGGCGGAUUAAUCAGUCAGUGGUGAAAUCUCAUAGCUUAACUAUGAAACUGCCAUUGAUACUGUUAGUCUUGAGUGAUGUUGAAGUUGCUGGAAUGUGUAGUGUAGCGGUGAAAUGCUUAGAUAUUACGCAGAACACCAAUUGCGAAGGCAGGUGACUAAACAUCAACUGACGCUGAUGGACGAAAGCGUGGGGAGCGAACAGGAUUAGAUACCCUGGUAGUCCAUGCCGUAAACGAUGGAUACUUGCUGUUGGGCUUUCGGGUUCAGUGGCUAAGCGAAAGUUAUAAGUAUCCCACCUGGGGAGUACGUUCGCAGAAUGAAACUCAAGGAAUUGACGGGGG
This 908-nucleotide ribosomal RNA is filed under the name uncultured bacterium. RNAcentral describes it as "bacterial SSU rRNA". It matches the Rfam family "Bacterial small subunit ribosomal RNA", at positions 1 to 919 of the family's 1533-position model. The record is from RNAcentral.